UGGGAAUUGAUUUCUCACUUUCUGUCUGUCUUUCUGAAUCAUUCCCCUUCAGAACAGAAAAGGAGAUCUGAAGUAGAAGAUGUCAAUAACCACUUCUCUGAGCUGCCUUUGGCUUUCCAGCCCGACUUUAAUUCUCAUCUUUAUGUACAAAAACAAGGACACGCACAAUUUCAAGGAGGAGCCUAUUAAAAACAACAUGACAACAACAGAACUGGGAGAACAGUGGGACCUUAUCUAACAACAGACCCUCCAGAGGUUUAGAUGAAGUCCAAGGAGAAGGUUCUUCGAGAGGAGAAAAGGAGGAAGCAGUUAAUGUCUUUGAGAUGUUGGGAAAACAAACACCACUAAGAUGUGAGGGAACCUCCUUGUGAUUUCUCACAACACUACUGUGUGUGGACCAGUGCUCCUCCGUGCCCCAUGAGGAAACAGACAACAGAGGACUGUCAGUCAGCCAAGUACGCUCG
This is a long non-coding RNA of Tupaia belangeri chinensis (Chinese tree shrew), 464 nucleotides long. RefSeq lists it as uncharacterized. The transcript is spliced from 3 exons. NCBI's taxonomy places the organism in Eukaryota, Metazoa, Chordata, Mammalia, Scandentia, Tupaiidae. The record is from RefSeq and is a predicted model, not a curated record.